This 528-nucleotide long non-coding RNA is filed under the name Cyanistes caeruleus (blue tit). RNAcentral's name for it is "lncRNA (ENSCCEG00000019268.1)". The record is from RNAcentral. Lineage: Eukaryota; Metazoa; Chordata; Aves; Passeriformes; Paridae.
UGGGAGGGGGCGGGGCGCGGAGGGGCCGGUCCCGGCUGAGGGGCCGUUGGUGCGGCAGAGUCGGAGCGGCGGCGGCCGGCGCGGCCCCGGGGAGAGGGCUCUGACGAGAGAGGGACCGACAGACCCACGGCGAGGGAGGAGCCAACCCCCGGCAAAGGAGCGGCCACGGCGAGAGAGGAACCGAGCCCUGGCAAGGGAUUGUCUGACCCCCUGCGAGGGAGUGAGCCCCGGCACAAAGGCAGCAGCGUUUCCAUGGGCAGCUGAGUGUGUGGAGCAGGCAGUGCAGGAGCAGGAAGAGGAAGAAGGAGGAGACCCUUAAGAGACGACUGCCUGCACCCUCAGAUGCGUGGGCCUCUGUAAGUUUUGUGCAGAACCUCCUGAUGCCUGAGCAUGCAGAUUGGCCCAGAAAAUUGCGAUGGCAAAACUGGAGUCCAGAGCCGUUCCAGGGGGUGUUUCCUGCAGCCACAAAGGCAGGGGCAAUUUCCUGGAGCUGUCACGUGCCUGUCCACGGCUUUGAGGAUGCUGUGG